AUCCAGUAGACGAGUCUCAAACAGGACGAAACUUUCGUCCUAGAU
This 45-nucleotide non-coding RNA is filed under the name Schistosoma mattheei. Lineage: Eukaryota; Metazoa; Platyhelminthes; Trematoda; Strigeidida; Schistosomatidae. The record is from RNAcentral.